RNAcentral lists this ribosomal RNA (292 nucleotides) under uncultured bacterium. RNAcentral describes it as "partial 16S ribosomal RNA". It matches the Rfam family "Bacterial small subunit ribosomal RNA", at positions 505 to 796 of the family's 1533-position model. The record is from RNAcentral.
GUUACAGCCGCCGCGGUAAUACAGAGGUGGCAAGCGUUGUUCGGAAUUACUGGGCGUAAAGGGCGCGUAGGCGGUCGGGCAAGUCCUGUGUGAAAUCCCUCGGCUCAACUGAGGAACUGCACGGGAAACUGCUCGACUUGAGUUCGGGAGAGGGAAGCGGAAUUCCGGGUGUAGCGGUGAAAUGCGUAGAUAUCCGGAGGAACACCGGUGGCGAAGGCGGCUUCCUGGACCGACACUGACGCUGAGGCGCGAAAGCUAGGGGAGCAAACGGGAUUAGAAACCCUCGUAGUCC